GCACAAGCAGUGGAGUAUGUGGUUUAAUUCGACGCAACGCGAAGAACCUUACCAAGUCUUGACAUCCUGCGACGGUUCUGGAAACAGAACUUUCCUUCGGGACGCAGAGACAGGUGGUGCAUGGUUGUCGUCAGCUCGUGUCGUGAGAUGUUGGGUUAAGUCCCGCAACGAGCGCAACCCUUAUGGUCAGUUACUACGCAAGAGGACUCUGGCCAGACUGCCGUUGAUAAAA
RNAcentral lists this ribosomal RNA (232 nucleotides) under uncultured bacterium. RNAcentral describes it as "partial 16S ribosomal RNA". It matches the Rfam family "Bacterial small subunit ribosomal RNA", at positions 923 to 1163 of the family's 1533-position model. The record is from RNAcentral.